UGGGGAAUAUUGGACAAUGGGGGCAACCCUGAUCCAGCAAUGCCGCGUGUGUGAAGAAGGUCUUCGGAUUGUAAAGCACUUUCGACGGGGACGAUGAUGACGGUACCCGUAGAAGAAGCCCCGGCUAACUUCGUGCCAGCAGCCGCGGUAAUACGAAGGGGGCUAGCGUUGCUCGGAAUGACUGGGCGUAAAGGGCGUGUAGGCGGUUUACACAGUCAGAUGUGAAAUCCCCGGCUUAACCUGGGAGCUGCAUUUGAUACGUGUAGACUAGAGUGUGAGAGAGGGUUGUGGAAUUCCCAGUGUAGAGGUGAAAUUCGUAGAUAUUGGGAAGAACACCGGUGGCGAAGGCGGCAACCUGGCUCAUGACUGACGCUGAGGCGCGAAAGCGUGGGGAGCAAACAGGAUUA
Molecule: ribosomal RNA, 407 nt
Filed under: uncultured bacterium
Lineage: Bacteria
Description: partial 16S ribosomal RNA
Rfam family: Bacterial small subunit ribosomal RNA
Source: RNAcentral